GUUGGCCCUGCCUUUCCUCCAGAUGCUCUAUCACUGUUUCUGGCUCUGACUCAACCUUUGUACUAUAGCAGCCAAGCAUCUCUUGAUGAUCUUUGGUCUCUGGUAAACUGCAUAAUAGAUAGUUUUUUUAAUAGUGAAGAAGUAGGAAUAUGAAAAUGGAGCCGAGUAUAACAUAAAAGGACUUCAAAAUCCGUUCCUCUGCUUGCUUUGUGCCAAUUCCUGUUUUUGGAUUCAGGGGACAACCCUUAGGGUGAAGUUGUCAUGAAUUCAGCUACUCAGUUGUCAUCUUCACUGGAGCUGGUUGAGUCAUUCCCACAUGUUACUCCCUGAUGCAGCACUGCCUAAUCUUACGGUUAGGCUUAGGUCCGAAGGGCACGGCUGUGUCUCCUCUCUAAGGCUGGGCAAGCGGCUCCGAGUGGGGAGGACGUGCUGCUGGGCAGCUGACAUCGCCUGGAGCUGAGCUAUGGGUGAAAAGCGCUACCGACGUGUAGUGGUCGCGAUUUACGAACUUUUAACUGGAGUUAAAAAUCGGGUGUCUUCUCCUUUGCUUGACACUUUCGAUGCUCCCCUAAAUACUAUUAUUUUAAUGAUUCAGUUUUAACUCCAGUACCAAAAUAAAUUCGUAUGCUAAUUUUUUUCCUACCAAUCUUCAGGUUUAUUUAGCUUAACUGCUUAAAGAAACCAUAUUAAUAGUGUCAUAAGUUUUAAUCUAAUAUGUGCAAUUAUUGUUUGUGUAAAAAACCAAGUGCUACUCUGAAGAUUUCACUGUGUUCCCAUAUACCUGUAAAAAUCUUUAAUAGAAAUGUUUUUUCAAAAUAGGCAUUUUGAACAUUUUAAUUGGGUCAUACUAGCAGUCUAAGCUGCUUAAGUAGUAUACAAUUCAAACUUGCUCAAUAGUACUCAUUAGUUAUCAUGUUUCAGCAGAUAAGCUUCCAGUUGAUUCUUAAUGCUCAUAGACGUUGGGCUAGUUGUUCGGUCAUCAUCAUGUAAACAAACCAAAGAUUAAAAAACAUUUCGCUAUGCAAAGGAUAGCUUAUUCAAUAAUAAUACUUGAAUUCUUUAGAUCUGGAAGGACAAAACAUACCAGUAGAAACUUCAUAAAAAUCCAACACUUUUUCUGUCAGCAUGCAAGUAAAGCAGUUCAACCUUUUUGAAUGAACUAAAAGACAUUCUAUCGGCUAGGAAAUCACUGAGUUAAUUUAUUAUCCAUAGCAAACAGAAGAGAGAGCAAUUUCAAUUUACUUAACUUCAGACCUUCUCAAUUAUUAUCCAUUUGUUUUGCUGAUCUCUGCUUAGGUGUUGGUGCUCAGUAUUCUGAGCAUUUCUCUUUAUGAACUUGUAGUGAUUUGAGAGGAUGUGUGAUGAAGGCUUCCUUGUAACAAGUCUGGCUGACAUGGCAGGUAGUCACUGACACAACUUGCUGUUACCUAUGGGCUUCCCAACUUUCUUCCAGAAACUGUUGCAGUCGCUCAGGAUUUGUGUAGUACUCUGUGCCACAUUUUUGUAUGUCUUUGUGUCUUUUGCACUUGCAGAUAGGUGUUUACAAGGAGCUGGUGUUUGGGAAAACCCAGUCUCUUCAAUUUAUGUUUUUCAUGUCAGCACUCCUGACAUGAAAACACAAUAGAAUAACGCAGGUAUAUGCCAACUUUUCUUAGUGGUGUUUGACUCACUGGAAUCUAUCCUGCUUUGUUUUUGAAGUACUGUGAUAAUUAAGUUGUUUAAUGUUGCUGUACAAGAACAGUUGAUUUUCUUUUAAUAGUGUACUUGUUUAAACAUUGAUUUGCUAAUUUGUAUCAAAAAUACAAGCCGUUACAAUAAAACUGUGCCUCUCCAC
Long non-coding RNA from Gallus gallus (chicken), 1834 nucleotides. NCBI's taxonomy places the organism in Eukaryota, Metazoa, Chordata, Aves, Galliformes, Phasianidae. The record is from Ensembl.